AGGUGGAGCCUGCGGUUUAAUCGGACUCAACGCCGGGAAACUCACCAGAUAAGACAGCUGAAUGAUAGUCGGGCUGAAGACUCUACUUGACUAGCUGAGAGGAGGUGCAUGGCCGUCGUCAGUUCGUACUGUGAAGCAUCCUGUUAAGUCAGGCAACGAGCGAGACCCACGCCAACAGUUGCCAGCUCGUCCUCCGGGAUGGUGGGGACACUGUUGGGACCGCCUCUGCUAAAGAGGAGGAAGGAAUGGGCAACGGUAGGUCAGCAUGCCCCGAAUUAUCUGGGCUACACGCGGGCUACAAUGGGUGGGACAAUGGGUAUCGACACCGAAAGGUGAAGGCAAUCUCCUAAACCCAUCCGUAGUUCGGAUUGUGGGCUGCAACUCGCCCACAUGAAGCUGGAAUCUGUAGUAAUCGUGUCUCAAAAUGGCGCGGUGAAUAUGUCCCUGCUCCUU
This 453-nucleotide ribosomal RNA is filed under the name uncultured Methanomicrobiales archaeon. RNAcentral's name for it is "bacterial SSU rRNA". It matches the Rfam family "Archaeal small subunit ribosomal RNA", at positions 886 to 1338 of the family's 1478-position model. Lineage: Archaea; Methanobacteriati; Methanobacteriota; Methanomicrobia; Methanomicrobiales. The record is from RNAcentral.